This 76-nucleotide transfer RNA is filed under the name Candidatus Yonathbacteria bacterium. Its description in RNAcentral is "tRNA-Val". It matches the Rfam family "tRNA". Rfam says of the family: Transfer RNA (tRNA) molecules are approximately 80 nucleotides in length. Their secondary structure includes four short double-helical elements and three loops (D, anti-codon, and T loops). Lineage: Bacteria; Candidatus Yonathiibacteriota. The record is from RNAcentral.
GGGAGAUUAGCUCAGUUGGUAGAGCAACUCGUUUACACCGAGAAGGUCAGAGGUUCAAGUCCUCUAUCUCCCACCA